Molecule: ribosomal RNA, 494 nt
Filed under: uncultured bacterium
Lineage: Bacteria
Description: partial 16S ribosomal RNA
Rfam family: Bacterial small subunit ribosomal RNA
Source: RNAcentral
GACGAACGCUGGCGGCGUGCUUAACACAUGCAAGUCGAACGGUGAAGCGCCUUCCUUUUUGGUGGGUGUGGAUGAGUGGCGAACGGGUGAGUAACACGUGAGUAACCUGCCCCCUUCUUCUGGAUAACCGCAUGAAAGUGUGGCUAAUACGGGAUAUUCUGGGUCUGUCGCAUGAUGGGUCUGGGAAAGAUCUUGUCUCGGGGGGGGAUGGGCUCGCGGCCUAUCAGCUUGUUGGUGGGGGGAUGGCCUACGAAGGGGGGGGCGGGUAGCCGGCCUGUGAGGGUGGGCGGUCUGGCCGGGGCGGAGACCCGGCCAGGAUGGGUACGAGAGGCAGCAGUGAGUAAUAUGGGACGAUGGGGGCAAGCCUGAUGCAGCGUGGCCGCGAGAGUGAUGGAGGCCUGCGGGUUGUGAGACGCUUUCGCCAGUGAAGCAGGCCUGCCUCGUGUGUGGGUGUGUUGACGGUAGCUGGAGAAGAAGCGCCGGCUAACUACGUG